Glycine soja is the source of this 6008-nucleotide RNA transcript. It is a transcript of the gene named stromal processing peptidase, chloroplastic-like, with no coding region annotated. The transcript has 7 exons. Lineage: Eukaryota; Viridiplantae; Streptophyta; Magnoliopsida; Fabales; Fabaceae. The record is from RefSeq and is a predicted model, not a curated record.
UGCUGACCUCUUUCUUGAUCUCCUCAAUCGCUACAGUGAUUUCCAAUGCCUUUUUUCUCUCCCCAAUGUAAUGCCUCUUCCUCUUCCCGAAACACUCUCUUUCUCAGACACACUCUCUUCUUCUUGCUAUUCCUUCCUCGUCAUGGAGACGCGAGUGUUGUCUGGCGCUGGAACCUUGUCCUCCCUCCCUCACCUCCAUAAACCGCCGCGGGAGGUCGGCGCCGACCCCUCCCUCGGCGUCGGACCCUCCCUCGUCGCCCCUCCCUUGUUCCCCUGUCUCCAUAACCAACCAACCAUACAUUAACACCAACACGGAACCUUGCUCACUCGCUCUCUUCACAAUUUCGAGAUCUGAAAUCGAAACUGAAACCGAAACCGAAGAGAGAGAGAGAAAAAAAUGAGGGAGCCAUCACCGGUGGGAUUCGAAGGCAACGACGUUGUUCCGCCGCAAGCUCUCCUCCAGAGACUGAAAGACUACGAUCAAGAACACGCUUUCGCCCUCUGGUAUGAGCUCUCUUAGGAGGAACGCGAGUUUCUCGUCAAGGACAUUGAGAGUUUAGAUCUUUCAAGAAUUGACCGGAUUAUUCAAUGUUCGCUGCGAUCUCAAGGACUGCCGGUGGUGGCCAUUGAGCCUGUGCCGGAGAGCAGUGUGUCGACGGUGGUGGAGAGAAGUCAAGAGGAUCGAGAGAGAUGGUGGAAAAUGGGAUUGAAGGCCAUUUUUGAUGGCAAAUUAGCUGUGUUGCUUUUAUCUGGUGGCCAGCAUAAGCUUUAACCUUGAGCUAGCGUAUACUAGUGCCAAAGAAUGGUAUGGGAGGAUAGCUGCAUUUAGCUGAUGCUGCAUAGCGUGGAUUUUAGGCUGCAUUGCUUGGGAAAACAUUGGUACAUAGAACCAAAUGGACUGGAGAUGCUUCUUCAAGCCCAAAACUCCCGUCCAAACUCCACAAAAACACAAGAUUCAAGAUAUCAUCAAUUGAAAUUACGGAUGCUAUCAAAGCUGGAUUGGAUGAACCUAUUCAGCCAGAGCCUGAGGAAGAACACUGCUUUGGGAGAACCAGCAGCUAAGGAGCACGGAGACACGAGAGUGGAGUUUGUAGCAGGAGAGGUCACCAAGCUCAAAGCCGUAGUAGAUGAGCUCGUUGCACAAUCUUUGCAGAACCAGAAUUAGAUGGAGGUGAUGCACAAGGAAGCCGCUGAUAAUCAGACGCGGCUGCUCAAUCUCAUGUCGACCUUUUCGAAGGGACUUAAGGAAGAGGGCGAAGGUUAGGCAUCAGUGAAACAUGGGCAACCAAGUACUGAGACAGGGAAAUCUAGUGGGAAUCCGAGACUGAAACCACUCAAACGCGAUGAUUUGCUGGAGUUUCAUCAAUUGAUGAAGAAAAUCGAACUACCUUCAUUUUACGGUGAUGACCCAGUAGGGUGGAUUGUGAGGGCCAAAAUCUAUUUCAGCGUUCAAGAAACACGCGAAGCUGUUCAUGUGAGCCUUGCUCAACUCUGUAUGGAAGGAGGUACGAUACACUUUUUUCAUUCUCUGUUGAAUAAGUAUGAAAAUUUGUCAUGGGAGGAUUUGAAGAGGGAGAUGUUGGAGCGGUAUGGUGGAAGGGGAGAAGGAAAUGUUUAUGAUCAAUUGGCAUCGUUGAAGCAAUCAGGGAGUAUGGAGGAUUACAUUCGUAGCUUUGGAUGUUUGAUUGCCCAGGUGCCUCGAAUGCACGAUGAGUAGUAUUUUUUGUACUUUACCCAGGGAUUGAAGGACGAAAUCCAUGCGAGAAUGCGAAGCCUGCACGUCGCGAAUCCUUUGACCAGGGGAUGAAUGAUGAACGUUGCUUUGCAAUUGACGUAGAAAUCUCUGGACAAAGCAGAGUGUGGCAGGGAAGAGGCGAAAUAUAUGGAGAUGGUAGGGCCCAAACCAGAAACCGACCCAUUUCCAGUAUUUUAGGUAAAACUGGCCUGCAGUAGAAUAAUGGAAAUUGGGGAGGAAAUAGGCUAGACCCAAGUGGAAAAAAUGAUGGGGGUGAGAAAAGAAAAAAUGGACCCAAAGAUAUAGGGGCUCGUCACCUUUCCUAUCAAGAGCUGCUGAAUAGAAAACAAAGGGGAUUGUGUUUUAAGUGUGGAGGGUCAUUUGGACCACUCCACCAGUGCCCCAUUAAACACCUCCGGGUCAUAAUGAUUAAUGAGGAGAUUUGAGUUAAAUGCGAAGAAAACGAAAAAAAUAUCAAAGGAGAUGCUACAGAGGAUGAUAGGGAUGUCGAAGGGGCCUGUACGACAUUGAGUCUCUGUUCGAUGAAGAAGAAGGAGGAGGAACAACCACGAACGAUGAAGUUGUGAGGUAAGGUGGGUGGAAUUCCAAUACUGUUUUUGGUUGAUAGUGGGGCAAUCCAUAAUUUUAUAUCACGGAAGCUAAUUGAAGCUCUGGGUUGGAAGUGGGAGAGAACAAAACAGAUGAGAAUUUUGAUGGGGGAUGGGCACAAAUCUGAAAUGCAAGGCGUAUGUCGUGGGAUUAAGGUGGAGUUUGAUGAAAGGGAAUUUGUAAUUGAUGUUUUCCUCUUCAAAUUGGAGGACAUGGACGUGAUAUUGGGAAUGCCAUGGUUGACCACCUUAGGGGAAACCUUGGUGGAUUGGAAAAAUCAGGUGAUGAAAAUCAAAACAGAUCAAGGAGAGAGGUGGUUAAGAGGAGUACCCCGUGAAGAUUCGUUGUUGGUGUCAAUGUUUGGCCUGUUGGAGGAAAAAGGGGGAAGUGAAGAGAAUGGAUUGAGCCAAGAACAAAGACGUGUCCUAGAUGAGGUGUUGCAGAAUUUUGUUGAUGUAUUUGUUGAACCAAAGGGGCUGCCACCUGUACGUGCAAAGGAAUACAGGAUCAUCCUUUAACUAGGGCAAGGUCCCAUUAAUGUUAGACCAUACAUGUAUGCAUAUCACCAAAAAAAUGAAGUUGAGAAACAAGCUAAGGGAAUUGAUGGAGGUGGGUCAUGUGAGGCAUAGCCAGAGUGUAUACUCCAGCCCGAUCAUUUUGGUGAAGAAGAAAAACAACAAAUGGCGGAUAUGUGUGGAUUAUAGAGCACUAAAUAAAGCCACCAUACCUGACAAAUUUCCUCUUCCAGUGAUAGAAGAGCUCUUGGAUGAGUUAUAUGGGGCCAGGUUCUUCUCAAAGCUAGAUCUUCGUUCAGGCUACCAUCAAGUAAGGAUGAGAGAGGAGGAUAUUCCAAAAACGACUUUUAGGACACAUGAGGGUCACUACGAAUAUCUCGUAAUGCCUUUUGGGCUUAUGAAUGCCCCUUCUACUUUCCAAGAACUCAUGAAUGAAGUCUUUCGUGCUUUGCUAAGACAAGGAGUAUUGGUGUUCUUUGAUGACAUACUUGUAUAUAGUAGAAGCUGGGAGAAACAUGUGCAAUUACUAGAAACGGUGUUGGGGGUGCUGAGGGCCAACAUGUUGUUUGCUAACAAGGAAAAGUGCACCUUUGGGCAGGAAAGCAUUGUGUACUUGGGCCACAUUAUAUCAAUACAAGGAGUUGCAAUUGAUCCUGUCAAGGUCAGUAGUGUUGUUGAGUAGCCUGUCCCUAAGAAUGUAAAGGGGGUUCGCGGGUUUCUAGGACUUAUGGGAUAUUAUCAUAAAUUCAUCAAGGAUUACGGUAAGAUAGCCAAACCCCUCACUGAGUUGACAAAAUAAAAUGGUUUCAGUUGGAAUGAAAAGGCUCAAGCAACUUUUGAGGAGCUUAAGAGGAAGAUUACCACAACAUCGGUGUUGCAAUUACCAAAUUUUGAUGAAGAGUUUUCUUUGGAGUGCAAUGCAUCUGGGACAGGAAACCAGUUUCUUAUUACAGCAAAGUGUUGAGUCCCUAUAAUUUAACUAAGUCAGCUUAGGAACGAGAAUUGAUGGCGGUAGCACUGGCAAUACAGCACUGGUGGCCUUACCUUCUGGGGCGAAAAUUCAUUGUGUUCUCAGAUCAGAAAAGCCUCAAACAAUUACUACAACAACAUAUCAUAACUGGAGGGCAGCAAAAUUGGUUGGCAAAGCUCUUAGGGUAUAAUUUUGAGAUAAUUUAUAAGCUUGGAAAGGAGAACCGACAAGCUGAUGCUCUGUCCCGUAGUAGAGAAGAAAUGGAACUGAACAAUGUGAUUUACUUCCCGGUAUGGUUGGAUUGGCAAGAAAUCAAUGCUGAGGUGCACACAGAUGAGAAGUUAAGAAAAAUAAUCGAAGAAGUGAAGAAAGGACAGGGGGAGAAGAUCAAUGUUGGAUUUGUAUAUAAACAAGGGGUACUUUAUUAUAAAAAUCGCCUCGUCAUCCCAGAGAAAUUAGCUUGGAUUCCAAAAUUUCUGGAAGAAUUCCAUGCUACUCCUGAAGGUGGUCAUUCUGGUUUCUAUCGCACAUAAAGAAGAAUAGCGGCAAAUUUAUAUUGGAGGGGAAUGAAGGCAGACGUUCAGCAGUUUGUCCAAGCUUGUGACACAUGCCAAAGACAAAAAUAUGUUACAGCGGCCCCUAGUGGUCUCUUGCAGCCAUUACCAAUUCCGGAGAGGGUUUGGGAAGAGAUUAGUAUUGACUUCAUCAAUGGCUUACCAAGAUCUAGAGGAUUUGAAGCAAUCUUGGUGGUAGUAGAUCGUUUGACGAAGUAUUGCCAUUUUGUGCCCCUUAAACAUCCUUAUAUUGCAAAGGCUCUUGCUGAAAUUUUAGUGAGGGAGGUAGUGCAACUCCAUGGAGUUCCAAAUUCUAUUGUGAGUGAUCGAGACCCUUUAUUCACGAGUUUUUUUUGGAAAGAGUUCUUUAAAAUGCAAGGAACCAAACUGAAAAUGAGCACAGCCUACCAUCCGUAAACGGAUGGACUGACUGAGGUAACAAAUAGGUGCCUUGAAACAUAUCUAUGAUGCUUCAUCACUGACCAACCCGAAACUUGGUUGAUUUGGAUGCCUUGGACUGAGUUUUGCUUUAACACAACUUACCAUGGAUCUAUAGGAAUGACUCCUUUUGAAGCGGUGUAUGGAAGACAACCACCCAAACUUGUUCUAAUGGUUCAAGGGGAAGUGAGAGUAGAGGUUGUCCAACAGGAUUUUAUCGAGAGGGAUGAAGCCUUAAGGCAGUUGAAAUCUCAUCUACUUCGAGCUCAGGACAGGAUGAGAGCUCAAGCAAAUAAGCAUCAAAAGGAGAGGUAUUUUGCUGUGGGUGAUUUCAUAUUUCUGAAGCUGAAACAGAACAUACAACAUUUUGUAAUGAAUAGGGUCAAUCCCAAGCUGAGUGCUAAAUUUUAUAGGCCUUUUGAGGUUGUGGAGAAGAUAGGGGAAGUGGCAUAUCAUUUGAAAUUGCCACCAUCUUCAAAAAUUCAUCCGGUGUUCCAUGUGUCCUUAUUAAAAAAGGCUGUGGGGAAAUACAAGGUGGAGGAGGUUCUUCCUAUUGGGCUGGAGGAUGAUAGAGCUGAAUUAAUGACACCCAAGGCUAUCUUGGCUACUAGGAACAAUACAAAAAGGGGGGGAGACCAAAAAACAACUGUUGAUACAUUGGAAGGAGCAAGUUGUGGAUGAGGCUACGUGGGAGGAUGAGGUUACCAUUCACAGCCAGUUUCCAGAAUUUGGCCUUGAGGACAAGGCUUUAUUUCAAGAAGAAGGUAUUGAUACAGACCCAAAUGCUACUGGGCCUAGAGAGCCCUUGAUCCAAGAAGAGAAAGGUAAGAAUAGGUGGGGUAGGGUGUAUGUGAGGAAAAAGCCUAGGAAUGAUGAUGUGGCACAGUAGGAGAAAUAAGUUCGUUAGAAGAGGGAGAAAAAGGAGUAUUAGCUGUUACAAGUAGGAGGAAGGGAGGAUUCGAGGAUCAUUCUGUUUUCUUGGUUGAUAUUUUGGGGAGGGAGCCUUUAUGGCUACUUCUUAGGAGCCAAGCUCUAGGUAAUAGGAUAUUUCUAUCCUUCUGUAUUUUCUUGGUUUUCAAUAAAUAAAAUACAGUUACUUUUUCUCUAUAUUUCUUGUGUCUUGAUUUCUGCAUUUUCAAUAUCCAUCAGUUUCCAUAUAUAAUGAUAUACCCGUUAGUGAAUCUACA